Molecule: long non-coding RNA, 2700 nt
Organism: Cygnus atratus (black swan)
Lineage: Eukaryota; Metazoa; Chordata; Aves; Anseriformes; Anatidae
Exons: 4
Source: RefSeq, a predicted model, not a curated record
GCCUCCUUAAAUAGUGGGAAGCAGAGCAGUUUAAUGCCAACAGAGGCUGCACUAGCUUCCCCUUUCUGUGAGAAACCUCCGUUUAGAGGGUUCCCAAAGUGAAAGUGUAAGAGAAAACAUAGCUGGGAGAGACUUACAUCCAAGUCUGGCAAGUGGAGUUGUGGAGCAUCACUCCAAAGCUAGAGACAUGUUUUGGGGAGAUAAAAGAAAAUGAAAGAUCUUGAUUGCUAAGCUGAGAGAGAACUGACCAGUAGUCUAUCAAAUCAAAGGCUAAAAUCCAAGACUGAUUCUGUUCAUACAGCUACAUAUCUGAAGUAUGGACUUUGUUAGAGCUACAUCUAACUAAAGCCAACAGAAUUAAGAGGAAAGUCACACUCUGCGUCCUAAUUGCUUUUGUUAUUAAAAGAAAAAUAGACAACAUUUUUGUUUGUUGCAUGCUUUUUCAAAUCAUUCUGCUAGAGUCAAGGAACUGGCAUGCUGUAGUGCAGGCGGCUGCCCUGGGAUCAAGGAACACCAGACAGAGGUUAUAGUAAAGCUGCUUGCAUUAGGAUGGCGGCAGAGGAAACUGUAUAGAAAAUGCAGUCCAGGAAACAGUUCUUAGAAGAUGGAGUAGGGAUUAAGUGAGAACCUAUUUUACUAUUUGCUAAAAAGCUCAGUACAUUUGCCUUCAUGGACUCUGCAUUCCAGAGGACUGCAUGCUGGGUUAAUAAAAUCCCUCUCCUGAAAGCCUUUGGAAACUCAGAUGGUCACUGACUGCCCAUAUGGCAGAAUUUGGCUAUUGCUAUUAGACAGCUGCAGGAAGUUGAAGAUAAGAAAGGGGAGACAGCACCAAAACCUUAUGGACACACAGAUACACAGAGAGACACGCGGCUUUGCCUCAUGGCAGGAGCUUCCAAAACAUGUUUCUCAUCAAAAUGCCAGCAUCCUCAUUUUUUUUUUCUUUUUCUUUUUCUUUUUCUUUUUCUUUUUCUUUUUCUUUUUCUUUUUCUUUUUCUUUUUCUUUUUCUUUUUCUUUUUCUUUUUCUUUUAGGAACUGCAAUUUGCACUUCUCCUUUUCUCCUUUUCUUAGGUGAUGUGUAUGUGAUUUAAACCCUCAGACAUUCUGGGCUUAAGUUCCAAGUGCAUUUUAAAACAAUGAGCACACCUACCAGCAACACAGAAAAACACCACAUUUCCGUUGCUCAGGCUUAAAGGGAGGCUCAGUUUAGCAUUCUUCCUUGGGGAAGAAAUGACAUGUUCCCCACUAACUCAAUGCCAAACCACUGCUCUCUGAUUUGAGUAACAAAUGCCAUUCCUACUGCGUCUAAAAGACCAAGCUCUGUUUCUUUUCUUAACAUGAAAUUGUGUAUUUUGGUACUGCUCUCAGACAACAGUUUAACAGAACAAAGAAGUUAUCUUUAUGAGACAGCCAGGGAAAUACACAAAGAACAGGAAGAUGCAGCUAACCUAAAUAAUGACAAUGAAAAUAAAAUAACCAUCAGGCUAUAAAUAAACAAUAUGAAGUAAAUAUCAUUAUUUUUAUUAACAGGAGACACAGACUUAAUUCCUGGGGACAAUUAUAUCCACUGUUUCCUCAGACUUCAGUUUUGGUUUCUUUCAGUCAAGCCACAGAAAAAUGUUUUCUACUUUGUUCAACUUUUUACAGUAUGAACUUCCACACUACUUUUGCUGGAGAAUACUGCACAGAACAGACACUUAUGUUUAGGAGAAAGGUCAGAUUUUUCUAAAACAAUAAAAUUGCCCAACCGUGCAAAAUUUUGAACUGCGCAAAUGCAUGCAUUCAUACAGAGCAGGGAAGUAAACAUACACACCACUGCAUUAAUUAAGACAAUACUUAGUUUCCUGCAACACAAAGGAAUUUUCUUAUUUAGAUUAGUUCUCUGAUGAUGCAGGCUCCCAUUGUGUGUAUGGGGGUGUGCGAAGCAGCAACUGCAGUUCCACAAAAAGGCAAGGGCUGGACCUGACCCAGUGGGUGAGUGGGGAAGGAAUCAAAUAAUCGCCUAAUCCAGAGCCAGGACCAGUUUUCUGGGAGCCAGCCUCAGUCACUCCAGCCCUCUGUCUUCCCUAAAGGACCUGAGCAGAAGCCUGGCGCACAUGCUGUGUGCCUGGGGAUUGUCUUGUUGGGAUUCCCGGGCGGGAAACGGGCUCAAUCUGUCAUUUACACAGUUUAAAACAAGCACUUGAAUUUUCCACUCCUGGCCACAACCAGCAGUGCCGGGCUGAAUUACUUUCCCAGCUGGAGGCAAGAAACGUGUGAGAGCAGAGUGCUUACCAAGUGGCCGAGCAACUGGGCAGCCUUGAAGCACACAACUCAACCCGCGCACAACAUCCCCGAACCUCGGCCUUUACCUGCUGCUGGGUGGCUAAUAGCUCCAUAGAACUUUCAAAUACUCCGAAAAGACCAGUUUGAUGAGAAAUAAUAUUCUGAAGAUUUUUUUUUUUUUUUUUUGGCAACUGGUAAGGCAAAAAUUACAAGAAGAGAAGCUGUGGGGAGUUUGCAGACAGUGACCCCAUGAUCAGUGACACAAUGGCCCCAUGGCAGCAUUUGAGCAAUUACCUGCACAACCAAUCUGACAAUGUUAGAAAGACAAUCCCAAUGUGCAGCAGGGAAUAUAGAUAUAGUCAUUGAAGUUGCUUUUAGCAGAUGUUCCUUACUGAAAUCCACUGAUAGCUGCUGUGGAGCAGAAUAUUAAUGGAACA